GUGAGUCCCGCCAUCACUGAUGCUGCGCCACGCUGGACGCUGCUCCCAGUUUUUCCUGUUGCCAGUGUCAGCAACAAGAGGUCACUGGCUCCAGCUCUUGGACACCGCCUCUUACCUGCAAGAAGGAUUGAGGCACUACUGGACGAAUUUUCCUUGAUAAGUGUGGGUUACAGUACGUCGAGGGGCGUACACCACCUGCAGGAGCUCGUCGAGGGACAUACACACCACCUGCAGGUA
Cherax quadricarinatus is the source of this 237-nucleotide long non-coding RNA. RefSeq lists it as uncharacterized. Lineage: Eukaryota; Metazoa; Arthropoda; Malacostraca; Decapoda; Parastacidae. The record is from RefSeq and is a predicted model, not a curated record.